AUCGUAAGAUGAAGUAUAGGGGCUGACGCCUGCCCAGUGCUGGAAGGUUAAAAGGAGGACUUAGCUUCGGCGAAGGUCUUAAUUGAAGCCCCAGUGAACGGCGGCCGUAACUAUAACGGUCCUAAGGUAGCGAAAUUCCUUGUCGGGUAAGUUCCGACCCGCAUGAAAGGCGUAAUGAUUUGGGCGCUGUCUCAACAAUAGACUCGGUGAAAUUUAAAUUCCAGUGAAGAUGCUGGGUACCCGCGACAGGACGGAAAGACCCCGUGGAGCUUUACUGUAGCUUGAUAUUGAAUGUUUGUGCUGCAUGUGCAGGAUAGGUAGGAGACUUUGAAGUCGGAACGCUAGUUUCGAUUGAGUCACCCUUGAGAUACUACCUCUGUUGUAUGAACGUUCUAACUCUGAUCAGUUAUCCUGAUCGAAGACAGUGUCUGGCAGGCAGUUUGACUGGGGCGGUCGCCUCCUAAAAGAUAACGGAGGCGCUCAAAGGUUUGCUCAGAAUGGUUGGAAAUCAUUCGUAGCGUGUAAAGGCAUAAGCAAGCUUGACUGUGAGACUGACAAGUCGAGCAGGUACGAAAGUAGGACUUAGUGAUCCGGUGGUUCCGUAUGGAAGGGCCAUCGCUCAACGGACAAAAGCUACCCCGGGGAUAACAGGCUCAUCUCCCCCAAGAGUCCACAUCGACGGGGAGGUUUGGCACCUCGAUGUCGGCUCAUCGCAUCCUGGGGCUGUAGUCGGUCCCAAGGGUUGGGCUGUUCGCCCAUUAAAGCGGUACGCGAGCUGGGUUCAGAACGUCGUGAGACAGUUCGGUCCCUAUCCGUCGUGGGCGCAGGAAAUUUGAGAGGAUCUGUCCUUAGUACGAGAGGACCGGGAUGGACAUACCUCUGGUGUACCAGUUGUUCUGCCAAGAGCACCGCUGGGUAGCUACGUAUGGAUUAGAUAAUCGCUGAAAGCAUCUAAGUGAGAAACUAACCUCGAGAUGAGAUUUCCCAUUCGUCAGAAGUAAGACCCCUGAGAGACGAUCAGGUAGAUAGGCUAGAAGUGGAAGUGUAGUGAUGCAUGGAGCGGACUAGUACUAAUAGGUCGAGGACUUAACCAAG
RNAcentral lists this ribosomal RNA (1095 nucleotides) under Oenococcus oeni. RNAcentral describes it as "bacterial LSU rRNA". It matches the Rfam family "Bacterial large subunit ribosomal RNA", at positions 1830 to 2925 of the family's 2925-position model. Lineage: Bacteria; Bacillati; Bacillota; Bacilli; Lactobacillales; Lactobacillaceae. The record is from RNAcentral.